GUGGGCAGAGUGGCAGGAGGCUGUACAAUGCGAGUGCCGGUGAUGGUGUUUUUCCGCGAUAUUUAUGUGUUGUAAUAGAGCACAUUUCCUUGAUUCGUGACGUUUGUGUACUAUAGUGUGCGUUGAGGAGACUCGUGAAUCAGCUUGGAUUGUACGGCGGAGAGGUGGUGUUGACGUGAUGGUUGUGAAGCGAUGGUGAUGGCAGGCUGCUCUUCAUGAGGGCAGCAGGCGCUGCGUCACCCUGGUCACAGCUGUGGGAAGGAAGCCUUGAGGAACAAUAACUACGGAUGCUGUGUGAGGGGGCGGCACGGCUCCUCCGUCCCCCCGCUGGCUUCCCUCAUCGCUCCCUGGAUGGAGUCUCGCUACAACAAAAGGCAAGUGCGUAUACAUUUACAUGGCAGGAUUAUGAUUGAUGACUCGUGCGGCG
Scylla paramamosain (green mud crab) is the source of this 427-nucleotide long non-coding RNA. RefSeq lists it as uncharacterized. Lineage: Eukaryota; Metazoa; Arthropoda; Malacostraca; Decapoda; Portunidae. The record is from RefSeq and is a predicted model, not a curated record. The transcript has 3 exons.